AUACGGAAGGUCCGGGCGUUAUCCGGAUUUAUUGGGUUUAAAGGGAGCGCAGGCGGAGAUGCAAGCGUGACGUCAAAUUUCGGGGCUCAACCCCGUCUCGCGUCGCGAACUGCGUCCCUUGGUUGCGGGAAGGGGAGGCGGAACUCGUGGUGUAGCGGUGAAAUGCAUAGAUAUCACGAAGAACUCCGAUCGCGAAGGCAGCCUUCCGGCCCGUCAACGACGCUCAUGCUCGAAGGUGCGGGUAUCAAACAGGAUUAGAUACCCUGGUAGUCCGUACAGUAAACGAUGGACACCCGCGGUUUGGCCUAUAUGGCUGAGCCGCCAAGCGAAAGCGUUAAGUGUCCCACCUGGGGAGUACGCCGGCAACGGUGAAACUCAAAUGAAUUGGCGGGG
Molecule: ribosomal RNA, 393 nt
Filed under: uncultured bacterium
Lineage: Bacteria
Description: partial 16S ribosomal RNA
Rfam family: Bacterial small subunit ribosomal RNA
Source: RNAcentral